This 73-nucleotide transfer RNA is filed under the name Camelus bactrianus (Bactrian camel). It matches the Rfam family "tRNA". From Rfam's summary of the family: Transfer RNA (tRNA) molecules are approximately 80 nucleotides in length. Their secondary structure includes four short double-helical elements and three loops (D, anti-codon, and T loops). Lineage: Eukaryota; Metazoa; Chordata; Mammalia; Artiodactyla; Camelidae. RNAcentral also lists the same sequence under 2 other names. The record is from Rfam by way of RNAcentral.
GAGGGUGUAGCUCAAGUGGUAGAGCACAUGCUUAGCAUGCACGAGGUCCUGGGUUCAAUCCCCAGUACCUCCA